Molecule: ribosomal RNA, 253 nt
Filed under: uncultured bacterium
Lineage: Bacteria
Description: partial 16S ribosomal RNA
Rfam family: Bacterial small subunit ribosomal RNA
Source: RNAcentral
UACGAGAGGCCCUAGCGUUAUUCGGAAUCACUGGGCUUAAAGCGCGCGCAGGCGGACUGGCAAGCGAGUUGUGAAAUCCCGAGGCUUAACCGUGGAACAGCAGGUCGAACUGCGGGUCUUGAGUCAGGUAGGGGCGGGCGGAACUACCGGUGGAGAGGUGAAAUGCGUAGAUAUCGGUGGGAACGCCAAUGGCGAAGGCGGCCGGCUGGGCCUGUUCCGACGCUGAGGCGCGAAAGCGUGGGGAGCAAACAGG